GACGAACGCUGGCGGCGUGCUUAACACAUGCAAGUCGAACGGAAAGGCCCUGCUUUUGUGGGGUGCUCGAGUGGCGAACGGGUGAGUAACACGUGAGUAACCUGCCCUUGACUUUGGGAUAACUUCAGGAAACUGGGGCUAAUACCGGAUAGGAGCUCCUGCUGCAUGGUGGGGGUUGGAAAGUUUCGGCGGUUGGGGAUGGACUCGCGGCUUAUCAGCUUGUUGGUGGGGUAGUGGCUUACCAAGGCUUUGACGGGUAGCCGGCCUGAGAGGGUGACCGGCCACAUUGGGACUGAGAUACGGCCCAGACUCCUACGGGAGGCAGCAGUGGAGAAUAUUGCACAAUGGGCGGAAGCCUUAUGCAGCAACGCCGCGUGCGGGAUGACGGCCUUCGGGUUGUAAACCGCUUUCGCCUGUGACGAAGCGUGAGUGACGGUAAUGGGUAAAGAAGCACCGGCUAACUACGUG
Molecule: ribosomal RNA, 468 nt
Filed under: uncultured bacterium
Lineage: Bacteria
Description: partial 16S ribosomal RNA
Rfam family: Bacterial small subunit ribosomal RNA
Source: RNAcentral